CCGGCGCACGGGUGAGUAACGCGUAUCCAACCUUCCGUACACUCAGGGAUAGCCUUUCGAAAGAAAGAUUAAUACCUGAUGGUAUGAUGAGAUUGCAUGAUAGCAUCAUUAAAGAUUUAUCGGUGUACGAUGGGGAUGCGUUCCAUUAGGUAGUAGGCGGGGUAACGGCCCACCUAGCCAACGAUGGAUAGGGGUUCUGAGAGGAAGGUCCCCCACAUUGGAACUGAGACACGGUCCAAACUCCUACGGGAGGCAGCAGUGAGGAAUAUUGGUCAAUGGACGAGAGUCUGAACCAGCCAAGUAGCGUGAAGGAUGAAGGUCCUACGGAUUGUAAACUUCUUUUAUAAGGGAAUAAACCCUCCCACGUGUGGGAGCUUGUAUGUACCUUAUGAAUAAGCAUCGGCUAACUCCGUGCCAGCAGCCGCGGUAAUACGGAGGAUGCGAGCGUUAUCCGGAUUUAUUGGGUUUAAAGGGAGCGCAGACGGGUCGUUAAGUCAGCUGUGAAAGUUUGGGGCUCAACCUUAAAAUUGCAGUUGAUACUGGCGUCCUUGAGUGCGGUUGAGGUGUGCGGAAUUCGUGGUGUAGCGGUGAAAUGCUUAGAUAUCACGAAGAACUCCGAUUGCGAAGGCAGCACACUA
This 638-nucleotide ribosomal RNA is filed under the name uncultured bacterium. Its description in RNAcentral is "bacterial SSU rRNA". It matches the Rfam family "Bacterial small subunit ribosomal RNA", at positions 95 to 731 of the family's 1533-position model. The record is from RNAcentral.